AACAACAUGCAUCUACUUUUUAGUAGCUUAUCUCAUCAGAACUCCACAGUUAAGUAUAAUUGACUUGGAGUAAUAUAGGGAUGGGUGACCUUCUGGGAAGUUUCCCAGAAAUUGUUC
Non-coding RNA from Cajanus cajan (pigeon pea), 117 nucleotides. The record is from Rfam. NCBI's taxonomy places the organism in Eukaryota, Viridiplantae, Streptophyta, Magnoliopsida, Fabales, Fabaceae.